This 422-nucleotide ribosomal RNA is filed under the name uncultured bacterium. RNAcentral's name for it is "SSU rRNA". It matches the Rfam family "Bacterial small subunit ribosomal RNA", at positions 369 to 808 of the family's 1533-position model. The record is from RNAcentral.
CAAUGGAGGAACUCUGAUGCAGCGACGCCGCGUGAGUGAAGAAGUAUUUCGGUAUGUAAAGCUCUAUCAGCAGGGNAAGAAAAUGACGGUACCUGACUAAGAAGCCCCGGCUAACUACGUGCCAGCAGCCGCGGUAAUACGUAGGGGGCAAGCGUUAUCCGGAUUUACUGGGUGUAAAGGGAGCGUAGACGGACUGGCAAGUCUGAUGUGAAAGGCGGGGGCUCAACCCCUGGACUGCAUUGGAAACUGUUAGUCUUGAGUGCCGGAGAGGUAAGCGGAAUUCCUAGUGUAGCGGUGAAAUGCGUAGAUAUCGGGAGGAACACCAGUGGCGAAGGCGACCUACUGGGCACCAACUGACGCUGAGGCUCGAAAGCAUGGGUAGCAAACAGGAUUAGAUACCCUGGUAGUCCAAGGGCGAAUUC